UGGGGAAUAUUGCACAAUGGGCGAAAGCCUGAUGCAGCAACGCCGCGUGAGUGAUGAAGGCCUUCGGGUUGUAAAGCUCUGUCUUUUGGGACGAUAAUGACGGUACCAAAGGAGGAAGCCACGGCUAACUACGUGCCAGCAGCCGCGGUAAUACGUAGGUGGCAAGCGUUGUCCGGAUUUACUGGGCGUAAAGGAUGCGUAGGCGGAUUUUUAAGUGAGAUGUGAAAUACCCGGGCUUAACUUGGGUGCUGCAUUUCAAACUGGGAAUCUAGAGUGCGGGAGAGGAGAAUGGAAUUCCUAGUGUAGCGGUGAAAUGCGUAGAGAUUAGGAAGAACACCAGUGGCGAAGGCGAUUCUCUGGACCGUAACUGGCGCUGAGGCAUGAAAGCGUGGGUAGCAAACAGGAUUAGAUACCCUGGUAGUCCACGCCGUAAACGAUGAGUACUAGGUGUAGGAGGUAUCGACCCCUUCUGUGCCGCAGUUAACACAAUAAGUACUCCGCCUGGGAAGUACGAUCGCAAGAUUAAAACUCAAAGGAAUUGACGGGGUCAUAGCUGUUUUCCU
RNAcentral lists this ribosomal RNA (563 nucleotides) under uncultured bacterium. RNAcentral's name for it is "partial 16S ribosomal RNA". It matches the Rfam family "Bacterial small subunit ribosomal RNA", at positions 355 to 1375 of the family's 1533-position model. The record is from RNAcentral.